GGAAAAAUAAAUUUUUAUUAUAAAUUCAUAGAAGACGCGUGCAAACUCUUAGAACCACUACACAAUUUACUGAGAAAAAAUACAGAAUUCAUUUGGAAUGAAGAAUGUGAAAAGUCAUUUAAAAAAAUUAAGGAAUACUUUUGUUCAAGUCCAAUCCUUUCAAUAUACGACCAUAACAAAGAAGUAUUCAUUUAUACAGAUGCAAGUGGAGACGGCUUAGGGACAGUUUUAAAGCAACCUCGAGACAACGGGACGUUACACCCGGUCGCGUACUUUUCGAGAAAAUUGAAACCAACAGAGAUAUUUCACUGUCCUUUCAGAUCAUAAACCGUUGGAAUCAAUGAGAAUCAAGGCAAGAACCGAUGAAACUUUAAGAGACCUGAUGCACU
RNAcentral lists this unclassified non-coding RNA (389 nucleotides) under Bombus terrestris (buff-tailed bumblebee). RNAcentral's name for it is "misc RNA ENSBTSG00005026568.1". Lineage: Eukaryota; Metazoa; Arthropoda; Insecta; Hymenoptera; Apidae. The record is from RNAcentral.